GGGGAAUAUUGGACAAUGGGCGCAAGCCUGAUGCAGCGACGCCGCGUGAGGGAUGACGGCCUUCGGGUUGUAAACCUCUUUCAGCAGGGAAGAAGCGAAAGUGACGGUACCUGCAGAAGAAGCACCGGCUAACUACGUGCCAGCAGCCGCGGUAAUACGUAGGGUGCGAGCGUUGUCCGGAAUUAUUGGGCGUAAAGAGCUUGUAGGCGGUUUGUCGCGUCUGCAGUGAAAAUCCGAGGCUCAACCUCGGACUUGCUGUGGGUACGGGCAGACUAGAGUAUGGUAGGGGAGACCGGAAUUCCUGGUGUAGCGGUGGAAUGCGCAGAUAUCAGGAGGAACACCGAUGGCGAAGGCAGGUCUCUGGGCCAUAACUGACGCUGAGAAGCGAAAGCAUGGGGAGCGAAC
Molecule: ribosomal RNA, 405 nt
Filed under: uncultured bacterium
Lineage: Bacteria
Description: bacterial SSU rRNA
Rfam family: Bacterial small subunit ribosomal RNA
Source: RNAcentral